CUUGGCAUGCACUAGUUAUCACAUAAUUGGGGAUUUCAUGCAUAACAUACUAAAGAGGGCACUAUUCUCUUUACUUAAGCAUUCUAUCAAACAUAUGGGGAGCAUGCUUUGGUUAUACCACAGAUUCUAUACUUAAUUAUCAUGAAUACAUCAAUAUCAUGCAUCUUGAAGAGGGUUUAUCAUGAACAUCAUACAAUUUAUCACAUACUAGAAUCAACUCUUGAAAUUGGUAGUCUAAAUCAUGAAUUAAAACUCAAUAAUAACAUGAACUUCAAUUUUAAUUCACAUG
RNAcentral lists this long non-coding RNA (289 nucleotides) under Capsicum annuum. Its description in RNAcentral is "long non-coding RNA (CANN_LNC000860)". Lineage: Eukaryota; Viridiplantae; Streptophyta; Magnoliopsida; Solanales; Solanaceae. The record is from RNAcentral.